GACGAACCGUGCGAACGUUGUUCGGAAUCACUGGGCUUAAAGGGCGCGUAGGCGGGUUACCAAGUCCGGGGUGAAAUCUUUCGGCUUAACCGGAAAAGUGCCUUGGAUACUGGUAGUCUUGAGGGAGGUAGGGGUAUGUGGAACUUCCGGUGGAGCGGUGAAAUGCGUUGAUAUCGGAAGGAACGCCGGUGGCGAAAGCGACGUACUGGACCUCUUCUGACGCUGAGGCGCGAAAGCCAGGGGAGCGAACGGG
This 253-nucleotide ribosomal RNA is filed under the name uncultured bacterium. RNAcentral describes it as "partial 16S ribosomal RNA". It matches the Rfam family "Bacterial small subunit ribosomal RNA", at positions 524 to 776 of the family's 1533-position model. The record is from RNAcentral.